GAACGCUGGCGGCGUGCCUAAUACAUGCAAGUCGAGCGAAUCGAUGGGAGCUUGCUCCCUGAGAUUAGCGGCGGACGGGUGAGUAACACGUGGGCAACCUGCCUAUAAGACUGGGAUAACUUCGGGAAACCGGAGCUAAUACCGGAUACGUUCUUUUCUCGCAUGAGAGAAGAUGGAAAGACGGUUUACGCUGUCACUUAUAGAUGGGCCCGCGGCGCAUUAGCUAGUUGGUGAGGUAAUGGCUCACCAAGGCGACGAUGCGUAGCCGACCUGAGAGGGUGAUCGGCCACACUGGGACUGAGACACGGCCCAGACUCCUACGGGAGGCAGCAGUAGGGAAUCUUCCGCAAUGGACGAAAGUCUGACGGAGCAACGCCGCGUGAACGAAGAAGGCCUUCGGGUCGUAAAGUUCUGUUGUUAGGGAAGAACAAGUACCAGAGUAACUGCUGGUACCUUGACGGUACCUAACCAGAAAGCCACGGCUAACUACGUGCCAGCAGCCGCGGUAAUACGUAGGUGGCAAGCGUUGUCCGGAAUUAUUGGGCGUAAAGCGCGCGCAGGUGGUUCCUUAAGUCUGAUGUGAAAGCCCACGGCUCAACCGUGGAGGGUCAUUGGAAACUGGGGAACUUGAGUGCAGAAGAGGAAAGUGGAAUUCCAAGUGUAGCGGUGAAAUGCGUAGAGAUUUGGAGGAACACCAGUGGCGAAGGCGACUUUCUGGUCUGUAACUGACACUGA
Molecule: ribosomal RNA, 735 nt
Filed under: Bacillus sp. 619(2010)
Lineage: Bacteria; Bacillati; Bacillota; Bacilli; Caryophanales; Bacillaceae
Description: bacterial SSU rRNA
Rfam family: Bacterial small subunit ribosomal RNA
Source: RNAcentral